AGGGAAGAGCCCAAGAUUGAAAGCUGAGACGUCUUCGGCGUCCGCAUUGUAAUCUCAAGAAGUGUUUUCCGCUUCGGACCAUGCCUAAGUCCCUUGGAAAAGGGCAUCAUAGAGGGUGAUAAUCCCGUACAUGGCAUGGAGCGCCCGAAGCUUUGUGAUACGCUUUCUACGAGUCGAGUUGUUUGGGAAUGCAGCUCAAAAUGGGUGGUAAAUGCCAUCUAAGGCUAAAUAUUGGGGAGAGACCGAUAGCGAACAAGUACAGUGAUGGAAAGAUGAAAAGAACUUUGAAAAGAGAGUUAAACAGUACGUGAAAUUGCCAAAAGGGAAGGGUAGGAGGUCAGAGAUGCGUCUUGGGAUUCAGCCUUGCUUUUGCAUGGUGUUUUUCCCAAGUUGCAGGCCAACGUCGGUUUUGGGCACUGGAGAAGGGUAGGAGGAACGUGGCACCUCUCGGGGUGUGUUAUAGCCUCCUACUGGAUACAGCGACCGAGACCGAGGAACGCAGCGUACUCGUAAGAGCGGGCCUUUUGGCACCUUUACGCUUAGGGCGUUGGCAUAAUGGCCCUCUACCACCCGUCUU
RNAcentral lists this ribosomal RNA (577 nucleotides) under uncultured Pseudozyma. Its description in RNAcentral is "LSU rRNA". It matches the Rfam family "Eukaryotic large subunit ribosomal RNA", at positions 99 to 655 of the family's 3401-position model. The record is from RNAcentral. Lineage: Eukaryota; Fungi; Basidiomycota; Ustilaginomycetes; Ustilaginales; Ustilaginaceae.